Molecule: ribosomal RNA, 430 nt
Filed under: Lactococcus lactis
Lineage: Bacteria; Bacillati; Bacillota; Bacilli; Lactobacillales; Streptococcaceae
Description: bacterial SSU rRNA
Rfam family: Bacterial small subunit ribosomal RNA
Source: RNAcentral
CAUGGCAAGUCGUAACGAGGUAACCGUGUACUUGUCCGAUUGGAUGAGCAGCGAACGGCUGAUUACGCGUGGGGAAUCUGCCUUUGAGCGGGGGACAACCUUUGGAAACGAAUGCUAAUACCGCAUAAAAACUUUAAACACAAGUUUUAAGUUUGAAAGAUGCAAUUGCUUCACUCAAAGAUGAUCCCGCGUUGUAUUAGCUAGUUGGUGAGGUAAAGGCUCACCAAGGCGAUGAUACAUAGCCGACCUGAGAGGGUGAUCGGCCACAUUGGGACUGAGACACGGCCCAAACUCUACGGGAGGCAGCUGUAGGGAAUCUUCGGCAAUGGACGAAAGUCUGACCGAGCAACGCCGCGUGAGUGAAGUAGGUUUUCGGAUCGUAAAACUCUGUUGGUAGAGAAGAAGUUGGUGAGAGUGGAAAGCUCAUCAA